This 468-nucleotide ribosomal RNA is filed under the name uncultured bacterium. Its description in RNAcentral is "partial 16S ribosomal RNA". It matches the Rfam family "Bacterial small subunit ribosomal RNA", at positions 28 to 507 of the family's 1533-position model. The record is from RNAcentral.
GACGAACGCUGGCGGCGUGCUUAACACAUGCAAGUCGAACGGAAAGGCCCUGCUUUUGUGGGGUGCUCGAGUGGCGAACGGGUGAGUAACACGUGAGUAACCUGCCCUUGACUUUGGGAUAACUUCAGGAAACUGGGGCUAAUACCGGAUAGGAGCUCCUGCUGCAUGGUGGGGGUUGGAAAGUUUCGGCGGGUGGGGAUGGACUCGCGGCUUAUCAGCUUGUUGGUGGGGUAGUGGCUUACCAAGGCUUUGACGGGUAGCCGGCCUGAGAGGGUGGCCGGCCACAUUGGGACUGAGAUACGGCCCAGACUCCUACGGGAGGCAGCAGUGGGGAUUAUUGCACAAUGGGCGGAAGCCUGAUGCAGCAACGCCGCGUGCGGGAUGCCGGCCUUCGGGUUGUAAACCGCUUUCGCCUGUGACGAAGCGUGAGUGACGGUAAUGGGUAAAGAAGCACCGGCUAACUACGUG